Molecule: unclassified non-coding RNA, 235 nt
Filed under: uncultured fungus
Lineage: Eukaryota; Fungi
Description: partial contains 5.8S ribosomal RNA, internal transcribed spacer 2, and large subunit ribosomal RNA
Source: RNAcentral
AACGCACAUUGCGCCCUCUGGUAUUCCGGGGGGCACGCCCGUUCGAGCGUCAUUACACCAAUCAAGCCUGGCUUGGUAUUGGGGCACGGGGGAGACCCGGCCCUCAAUGUCUUCGGCAGGAGCGCCCCGAUCGCAGCGUUGUGGCAUACAUUCUCGCUGGUGAGACGGGUGGUUCGCGCCGUAAACUCCAUCAAAGGUUGACCUCGGAUCGGGUGAGGAUACCCGCUGAACUUAA